CUCAAGCCUUUCAGACUUCUC
RNAcentral lists this small nuclear RNA (21 nucleotides) under Arabidopsis thaliana (thale cress). RNAcentral's name for it is "snRNA_01314". Lineage: Eukaryota; Viridiplantae; Streptophyta; Magnoliopsida; Brassicales; Brassicaceae. The record is from RNAcentral.